UAUAUUUAAGUGUUAUGGUGCACGGGAAUUUUUGAUUUUUCAAGGUAUGGUUUAAUUCCAUAAAAUAUAA
RNAcentral lists this transfer RNA (70 nucleotides) under Tholosanus proximus. RNAcentral describes it as "tRNA-Gln". Lineage: Eukaryota; Metazoa; Arthropoda; Insecta; Hemiptera; Pentatomidae. The record is from RNAcentral.